GUGGGGGCGUAGUCGGCUGGG
Molecule: unclassified non-coding RNA, 21 nt
Filed under: Chlamydomonas reinhardtii
Lineage: Eukaryota; Viridiplantae; Chlorophyta; Chlorophyceae; Chlamydomonadales; Chlamydomonadaceae
Description: small RNA Cre_2064
Source: RNAcentral